This 468-nucleotide ribosomal RNA is filed under the name uncultured bacterium. RNAcentral's name for it is "partial 16S ribosomal RNA". It matches the Rfam family "Bacterial small subunit ribosomal RNA", at positions 28 to 507 of the family's 1533-position model. The record is from RNAcentral.
GACGAACGCUGGCGGCGUGCUUAACACAUGCAAGUCGAACGGAAAGGCCCUGCUUUUGUGGGGUGCUCGAGUUGCGAACGGGUGAGUAACACGUGAGUAACCUGCCCUUGACUUUGGGAUAACUUCAUGAAACUGGGGCUAAUACCGGAUAGGAGCUCCUGCUGCAUGGUGGGGGUUGGAAAGUUUCGGCGGUUGGGGAGGGACUCGCGGCCUAUCAGAUUGUUGGUGGGGUAGUGGCUUACCAAGGCUUUGACGGGUAGCCGGCCUGAGAGGGUGACCGGCCACAUUGGGACUGAGAUACGGCCCAGACUACUACGGGAGGCAGCAGUGGGGAAUAGUGCACAAUGGGCGGAAGCAUGAUGCAGCAACGCAGCGUGCGGGAUGACGGCAUUCGGGUUGUAAAGCGCUUUCGCCUGUGACGAAGCGUGAAUGACGGUAAUGGGUAAAGAAGCACCGGCUAACUACGUG